Planococcus citri (citrus mealybug) is the source of this 552-nucleotide long non-coding RNA. RefSeq lists it as uncharacterized. Lineage: Eukaryota; Metazoa; Arthropoda; Insecta; Hemiptera; Pseudococcidae. The record is from RefSeq and is a predicted model, not a curated record. The transcript is spliced from 3 exons.
UUAAUGAAAUGACCAAGACUGUCGAAAUUAUGAGUUGUUACUGUUCCAGCCUUUACCGGUGAGGCGGUGACCGCUCUGCAGAAUUUUGCUUUCGAAAGUUUACCCAUACUAAAGUAAAUAUUUCACAUAGCAUACUAUACCAUGACUAUGAAGAGGAAUUUUCAUCGAUUUUUUCAUUAAUAUUUCAGGUGGUUUAUAGUUAUUGCUCCUUUGAAAGAUCUCGUAAAAGAACUGAGAGAUUGGAAAGUAAGAUUUCAAAGGAAACUAAAAAAGAAAUUGUCGAAUUGACGGGUGAUGUUACGCCCGACAUACAAGCCAUCUCAUCCGCAUCCAUAAUUGUAACAACCCCUGACAAAUGGGGCAGUAUUUCACGUAGUUGGCAAACACGUACUUAUGUGAAAAAAGCUGUCUUGAUGAUAGACGAAAUUCAUCUGUUGGGAGAAGAUCAUGGACCGGUAUUGAUAGUAGAUAAUUGUUUCUCGAACAAAUUUCAUCGUUUCUCAUAUAUCGAAAAGAAUAUUCGUAUUGUUGGAUUAUCGACUACUUUGGCCA